Long non-coding RNA from Centruroides sculpturatus (bark scorpion), 1438 nucleotides. RefSeq lists it as uncharacterized. The transcript is spliced from 4 exons. The record is from RefSeq and is a predicted model, not a curated record. NCBI's taxonomy places the organism in Eukaryota, Metazoa, Arthropoda, Arachnida, Scorpiones, Buthidae.
AUUCGAGUUUUCCGCCACAUUCAUGUUGUCAUCCGAGUCCGCAUGAUCGUACUCUCUGCUGUCUCUGCCAGUGUUUUCUUCGCCAUCCACCGCCCGCAGGACAUCGCUGCCGACAGCAACUGUGAAAAUUGCCCUGUAUUAUAUCCGGAGUCAUACAUUUUGUUAAAAAGAUAACUUUUAGAUGCGUUAAUGAAUAUGAGAUUCCGAAAGAAGGUGAUCGAUGGAGAAGCCUUCGCCUUUACUGUAUCAUGUAAUAAAUUUAUUGCUGUUAAGAAAAAUAAAGAUGAAUGAUCCGUUAUGGAUGAUGAUGAUGAUGAUGAUGAUGAUGAUGAUCCGGUAUAUUCCAGGUGAGAUUUGAAUAUUAAUAGAUGGAAUUUAAGAUGCGAUUUCCUCUUUAGCAACUUCACAGACAUAAAAGUUGUCCCAGGGAUGAUGAAUCUAUCAGAGAUAAUUUCUGCCAUCUCACUCUCAGGUUGGGGGUAACAAUAAUCAUAGAAAGAACACAGUCUGCAAUAAUGAUUUGAAAUAUUCCUACAGUGAAAUUAGAUUUCGCGACCUUCAUUACAAGUCUCCUGGUCUGCAACCAUUAAAGGCGGGAGGGACGUUGAUGAUGGACAACGAACAUUAGAGAGGAGCUGGAGAUUAAAAGAAAGACCUAAUUGUGCUAAUGGAAAGAGAGAGAAACGAUAACAGUACCAAACUGCGAAUCAUUAUUCGUUUGAAAUGAGAAGGAGAUGUUUGGACUGGACAUUUUCAAGAUGUACUUGUUAGUAGUUUAAUAUACGAUAGAAAUUUCUUAGCCAUUAAAAGACAAUAUAUGCAAAUUUAACAUUAAAUGCUUAUACGUACAAGAACUUCUAUAUUCUGUUUGGUUUAUGGCCGAAUCUUAGAAACAGAAUGAAAAAUGGUUAAUGACUUUUUCAGUAAAAUUCAUUUUUUUUCCAUCAUCGUCCGUCUAAAACAAAGAGUCUGAACUCCCUCUCCGAGGAGUACAAUCAGCUUGCAAAUUGACCAUCCGGUUGGAACUCAAUGCUCACAGAUAACCGAAUCAGGAUCUCCCAGGAUAGUUUCGAGCAUCCGCAAAACGAGUUUUCUUUAUUAUAAUUGCUUUCAUGAUAAAGAUGGGCACGUGCAACCACCGCAGACUCCCUGGCAAUUGUAAUAAUCUUUAAUUAAAUUGUAUCAAAUAAAGAUAAAUUUGCGUAAUUGAGUAUUUUUAUUCAUUUUUUCUACGAUAAUUCAUCGAAAACCAUCGCCUGUUUUCAAUUUUAUUGAGUGUGUCUGAGACCGACUUUCCCUUUUUGGGAAUUUCUCUACAUCCACAUUAGCAUUGUCACUUUAAUAUCGCAAUUUUUCUAUUAAUUACUCAAGUUAUAUCAUAAUAUUCCACAAGUAAAUUUGACAAAAGGUAUGAUAUUACACGAUAACUUUGCAAAGA